This 465-nucleotide ribosomal RNA is filed under the name Vreelandella stevensii. RNAcentral's name for it is "partial 16S ribosomal RNA". It matches the Rfam family "Bacterial small subunit ribosomal RNA", at positions 338 to 795 of the family's 1533-position model. Lineage: Bacteria; Pseudomonadati; Pseudomonadota; Gammaproteobacteria; Oceanospirillales; Halomonadaceae. The record is from RNAcentral.
CCUACGGGGGGCAGCAGUGGGGAAUAUUGGACAAUGGGGGGAACCCUGAUCCAGCCAUGCCGCGUGUGUGAAGAAGGCCCUCGGGUUGUAAAGCACUUUCAGUGAGGAAGAACGCCUGGUGGUUAAUACCCAUCAGGAAAGACAUCACUCACAGAAGAAGCACCGGCUAACUCCGUGCCAGCAGCCGCGGUAAUACGGAGGGUGCGAGCGUUAAUCGGAAUUACUGGGCGUAAAGCGCGCGUAGGUGGCUUGAUAAGCCGGUUGUGAAAGCCCCGGGCUCAACCCGGGAACAGCAUCCGGAACUGUCAAGCUAGAGUGCAGGAGAGGAAGGUAGAAUUCCCGGUGUAGCGGUGAAAUGCGUAGAGAUCGGGAGGAAUACCAGUGGCGAAGGCGGCCUUCUGGACUGACACUGACACUGAGGUGCGAAAGCGUGGGUAGCAAACAGGAUUAGAUACCCUAGUAGUC